This 416-nucleotide long non-coding RNA is filed under the name Panax ginseng (ginseng). RNAcentral describes it as "long non-coding RNA (PGIN_LNC003159)". Lineage: Eukaryota; Viridiplantae; Streptophyta; Magnoliopsida; Apiales; Araliaceae. The record is from RNAcentral.
UUUGGAAAAGAGGAGUCUUCCUCUCUAGAAAAGAAUGAAUUGUGAAGUUUUAAUUUAGACAAACAACUGCAUAUACCUCCUCCUCUUCUUCUUUUUUUGCUAAAUAAAGAGUUCCACGUUACAAUGGGGGCCUCCUCAUCACAUAGUAUAAUCGAAGUACCUGCAGGUAUUGUUAAGCUGAUUGACAAAACAAUUUAUGUUAUUCUUAUUUUUAUAAUAAUUUUUUUUGAGGCAUUAUGCUAUUAGUAAUGUAAGUGCUUCCAAAUUUUAAAAACUCGAUCAGGGGAUGGAAAUUCAGACUACAAGGUGCAACUUCAGAAAGCAAUACGCAGGAACGACUGGAACAAUCUCAGAGAUCUUUUGGAUAAAUUCCCCGCAGCUCUUACGGAACCAAUUACGGAUCAUGAUGGAGCGAC